Molecule: long non-coding RNA, 1057 nt
Filed under: Phasianus colchicus (ring-necked pheasant)
Lineage: Eukaryota; Metazoa; Chordata; Aves; Galliformes; Phasianidae
Description: lncRNA (ENSPCLG00000001666.1)
Source: RNAcentral
GGCCCCUCCGCACAGAGCCGGCCCGCCCCGCGGGACCCACGGCGGCGGCGGCGGCCCCGCUGCGCCCAGCGUCGCGCACGGCCGCGUCGGAGCACGGCACAGCACAGCACAGCACGUACCUGCUGCUGCUGCUGCCCGCCGCACCGCGUAGCUCCGCUCCGGCGGGGGCUCGGCGCGCGCCUCGCGCGUGAGCGGCACCGCGAGGGGAGAGCGGAGGGGAACGCCGCGCGCGCGCUCAGCCGCCCUUCCUCCCGGGUCGCCUUGGAAACGGCGCGCGGCGCGAAGAGGGGGAGGAGGAGGAGGAGGUUUAAAGGGGGCGCGCGCGCGUGUGCUCGCCCCGCGUCACGUGGGCGCCGCCGAACCAAUGGGCGACGGCGGACGGCGGGCGCCGUAGUACUACGGCCCGGGGAAGGCGAGGCGCGAGAGCGCGGGGCGGGGCGGCGGCGGCGUCCUCCCCUCAGGGGCGGCGGCCCCGCCCCCUCCGCUGGGUCCCCGCAGGGCGGGAGGCGCCGCGCGGUCGCUGUCCGCGGGCAGACAGCGGCAUUACAUAACCGCGUACGGAGAGCGGCCGCGGUUACGCGAUGCAGAUGAGCGGCGGCGUCGAUUCGGCAGAUCGCCCUGCGCGCGUGUGAGGGGCAGCGCGGCCGUGCGGUGCCGUUUUAGAAGAAUAGCUUCUGCCCAAGAAUUAGAAUUGUUGGAAUAAUAUGCGAACAGAUCAUGAAGAACUCUGUGGCACCAGUUAUGGAUCUUUUUGUCUAAAUGGAGGCAUUUGCUAUAUGAUUCCUACUAUACCCAGUCCAUUCUGCAGGUGUAUUGAGAAUUACACAGGAGCACGCUGUGAAGAAGUUUUGCUGCCCAGCAUCAAGUCUCAAACAAAAGGUGACCUGUUUGCAGUUCUCUUGGCUUCACUUCUCCUUCUCGGAGUUCUUUUAAUUGGAACAUUCUACUUCCUUUGCAGGAAAGCCACCAUUGCAAGGACAGGUUCGUCAGAGUGUGGUGCCCACCUGGUUGAGACUACAAGCAGCAAUGGCUGCAACAAAAUAAUAACGGAGUAAAG